UUUCUCAAGGUUGACCUCGGAUCAGGUAGGGAUACCCGCUGAACUUAAGCAUAUCA
This 56-nucleotide ribosomal RNA is filed under the name Diplodia mutila. Its description in RNAcentral is "partial 28S ribosomal RNA". Lineage: Eukaryota; Fungi; Ascomycota; Dothideomycetes; Botryosphaeriales; Botryosphaeriaceae. The record is from RNAcentral.